Molecule: small nuclear RNA, 103 nt
Organism: Saimiri boliviensis boliviensis (Bolivian squirrel monkey)
Lineage: Eukaryota; Metazoa; Chordata; Mammalia; Primates; Cebidae
Source: Ensembl
CUCCUUCUGCAGAAGAUACACUAAAAUUGGAAUGAUACAGAGAAAAUCAGCAUGACCACUGUGCAAAGAUGACAUGUAAAUUCGUGAAGUAUUCCAUAUUAAA